Molecule: ribosomal RNA, 349 nt
Filed under: uncultured Porphyromonadaceae bacterium
Lineage: Bacteria; Pseudomonadati; Bacteroidota; Bacteroidia; Bacteroidales; Porphyromonadaceae
Description: bacterial SSU rRNA
Rfam family: Bacterial small subunit ribosomal RNA
Source: RNAcentral
UAGGGAAUAUUGGGCAAUGGGCGCAAGCCUGACCCAGCAGCGCCGUGCGCGGUGCUAUGAGAGUACCCGGAGAAAAAGCAUCGGCUAACUCCGUGCCAGCAGCCGCGGUAAUACGGAGGAUGCGAGCGUUAUCCGGAUUUAUUGGGUUUAAAGGGUGCGUAGGCGGACAGUUAAGUCAGCGGUCAAAACGGGCGGCUCAACCGCCUGCCGCCGUUGAAACUGGCAGUCUAGAGUGGGCGAGAAGUACGCGGAAUGCGCGGUGUAGCGGUGAAAUGCAUAGAUAUUGCGCAGAACUCCGAUUGCGAAGGCAGCGUACCGGCGCCCGACUGACGCUGAGGCACGAAAGCGU